GUCAGGAUGGCCGAGUGGUCUAAGGCGCCAGACUCAAGGUUUCAUACCUUCCUCUAAAAUGGGGCUUCUGGUCUCCGAAUGGAGGCGUGGGUUCGAAUCCCACUUCUGACA
This 111-nucleotide transfer RNA is filed under the name Megalops atlanticus (tarpon). It matches the Rfam family "tRNA". Rfam says of the family: Transfer RNA (tRNA) molecules are approximately 80 nucleotides in length. Their secondary structure includes four short double-helical elements and three loops (D, anti-codon, and T loops). Further hydrogen bonds mediate the characteristic L-shaped molecular structure. tRNAs have two regions of fundamental functional importance: the anti-codon, which is responsible for specific mRNA codon recognition, and the 3' end, to which the tRNAs corresponding amino acid is attached (by aminoacyl-tRNA synthetases). tRNAs cope with the degeneracy of the genetic code in two manners: having more than one tRNA (with a specific anti-codon) for a particular amino acid; and 'wobble' base-pairing, i.e. permitting non-standard base-pairing at the 3rd anti-codon position. Lineage: Eukaryota; Metazoa; Chordata; Actinopteri; Elopiformes; Megalopidae. The record is from Rfam by way of RNAcentral.